RNAcentral lists this transfer RNA (74 nucleotides) under Ateuchosaurus chinensis (Chinese short-limbed skink). RNAcentral's name for it is "tRNA-Phe". It matches the Rfam family "tRNA". From Rfam's summary of the family: Transfer RNA (tRNA) molecules are approximately 80 nucleotides in length. Their secondary structure includes four short double-helical elements and three loops (D, anti-codon, and T loops). Further hydrogen bonds mediate the characteristic L-shaped molecular structure. tRNAs have two regions of fundamental functional importance: the anti-codon, which is responsible for specific mRNA codon recognition, and the 3' end, to which the tRNAs corresponding amino acid is attached (by aminoacyl-tRNA synthetases). tRNAs cope with the degeneracy of the genetic code in two manners: having more than one tRNA (with a specific anti-codon) for a particular amino acid; and 'wobble' base-pairing, i.e. permitting non-standard base-pairing at the 3rd anti-codon position. The record is from RNAcentral. Lineage: Eukaryota; Metazoa; Chordata; Lepidosauria; Squamata; Scincidae.
GUUAUUGUAGCUUAACAACUAAAAAGCACAGCACUGAAGAUGCUGAGAUGGAUGGCCAACACGUCCCAAAAACA